RNAcentral lists this non-coding RNA (27 nucleotides) under Rattus norvegicus (Norway rat). The record is from RNAcentral. Lineage: Eukaryota; Metazoa; Chordata; Mammalia; Rodentia; Muridae.
UGGUCCUCUUUGCCACAUCCGUGUCUC